GAGUUUGAUCGUGGCUCAGAUUGAACGCUGGCGGCAUGCCUUACACAUGCAAGUCGAACGGCAGCACGGGAGCUUGCUCCUGGUGGGCGAGUGGCGAACGGGUGAGUAAUGCAUCGGAACGUAUCCUGGAGUGGGGGGAUAACGUAGCGAAAGUUACGCUAAUACCGCAUAUUCUGUGAGCAGGAAAGCGGGGGACCUUCGGGCCUCGCGCUCUUGGAGCGGCCGAUGUCGGAUUAGCUAGUUGGUGAGGUAAAGGCUCACCAAGGCGACGAUCCGUAGCAGGUCUGAGAGGAUGAUCUGCCACACUGGAACUGAGACACGGUCCAGACUCCUACGGGAGGCAGCAGUGGGGAAUUUUGGACAAUGGGGGCAACCCUGAUCCAGCCAUGCCGCGUGAGUGAAGAAGGCCUCGGUG
This 415-nucleotide ribosomal RNA is filed under the name bacterium enrichment culture clone ALO1_GLFRUDD03GTLBL. Its description in RNAcentral is "bacterial SSU rRNA". It matches the Rfam family "Bacterial small subunit ribosomal RNA", at positions 9 to 422 of the family's 1533-position model. The record is from RNAcentral.